CGCGGUAAUUUGACCGUGCUAAGGUAGCAUAAUCAUUUGUCUUUUAAUUGAAGACUGGAAUGAAAGGUGCAACAAGAAGUUUGCUGUCUUAAAAAAAUAAGUUGAAUUUUAUUUUUUAGUGAAAAAGCUAAAAUAAUUUUGUGGGACGAUAAGACCCUAUAGAUCUUUAUUAUAUAAAAAUAAUUAAUUUUUUAAUAUAAUUUUGUUGGGGCGAUGGUAAGAAAAGAAUAUCUCUUAAAAUUUGUAUAUACUGAUAAGUAGAUUAAAUUAUGAUCCUAAAAGAUGGAUUAUUAGAAUAAGUUACCUUAGGGAUAACAGCGUAAUAUUUUUUUAGAGUUCUUAUCGAAAAAAAUGUUUGCGACCUCGAUGUU
This 371-nucleotide ribosomal RNA is filed under the name Lynceus sp. ZS074. RNAcentral describes it as "partial large subunit ribosomal RNA". It matches the Rfam family "Bacterial large subunit ribosomal RNA", at positions 1932 to 2533 of the family's 2925-position model. Lineage: Eukaryota; Metazoa; Arthropoda; Branchiopoda; Diplostraca; Lynceidae. The record is from RNAcentral.